Molecule: ribosomal RNA, 467 nt
Filed under: uncultured bacterium
Lineage: Bacteria
Description: partial 16S ribosomal RNA
Rfam family: Bacterial small subunit ribosomal RNA
Source: RNAcentral
GACGAACGCUGGCGGCGUGCUUAACACAUGCAAGUCGAACGGAAAGGCCCUGCUUUUGUGGGGUGCUCGAGUGGCGAACGGGUGAGUAACACGUGAGUAACCUGCCCUUGACUUUGGGAUAACUUCAGGAAACUGGGGCUAAUACCGGAUAGGAGCUCCUGCUGCAUGGUGGGGGUUGGAAAGUUUCGGCGGUUGGGGAUGGACUCGCGGCUUAUCAGCUUGUUGGUGGGGUAGUGGCUUACCAGGCUUUGACGGGUAGCCGGCCUGAGAGGGUGACCGGGCACAUUGGGACUGAGAUACGGCCCAGACUCCUACGGGAGGCAGCAGUGGGGAAUAUUGCACAAUGGGCGGAAGCCUGAUGCAGCAACGCCGCGUGCGGGAUGACGGCCUUCGGGUUGUAAACCGCUUUCGCCUGUGACGAAGCGUGAGUGACGGUAAUGGGUAAAGAAGCACCGGCUAACUACGUG